This 253-nucleotide ribosomal RNA is filed under the name uncultured bacterium. RNAcentral describes it as "partial 16S ribosomal RNA". It matches the Rfam family "Bacterial small subunit ribosomal RNA", at positions 524 to 776 of the family's 1533-position model. The record is from RNAcentral.
UACGUAGGGUGCAAGCGUUGUCCGGAAUUAUUGGGCGUAAAGAGCUCGUAGGCGGUCUGUCGCGUCGGCUGUGAAAUCCCGGAGCUCAACUCCGGGUCUGCAGUCGAUACGGGCAAACUGGAGUACUGCAGGGGAGACUGGAAUUCCUGGUGUAGCGGUGAAAUGCGCAGAUAUCAGGAGGAACACCGAUGGCGAAGGCAGGUCUCUGGGCCGAUACUGACGCUGAGGAGCGAAAGCGUGGGGAGCGAACAGG